Cinara cedri is the source of this 270-nucleotide non-coding RNA. Lineage: Eukaryota; Metazoa; Arthropoda; Insecta; Hemiptera; Aphididae. The record is from the annotation of a GenBank genome assembly.
CGCAUUGUCUUUUAAAACCAAAUUGAUCUUCCGUUAAUACACUUUCUACUGUGUUUUCUAAAGACCUCGUAAAAAAGCCGAAAAUAUUUCAGCCAAACCGUAAUCUGUCGACUAAGACAAAUAUUUAAUCCGGAACAUAUUUCGUCCAACACGUAUUACCGACACUACUAGUUGUGUUGUACUAGCGUUAGUUAUAAUGGAGGGGGAUUUAUCGGCUGAAAUACAGUUUGGAUUAAAUAUGUCUUGGCUAAAAUACGGAUUAUUGGAUUA